GAUGAACGCUAGCUACAGGCUUAACACAUGCAAGUCGCGGGGCAGCAUGGGGGUUGCUUGCACUCCCCGAUGGCGACCGGCGCACGGGUGAGUAACGCGUAUCCAACCUGCCCUUCACCACGGGAUAACCCGGCAAAAGUCGGACUAAUACCGUAUGUUGUCCAUUGACGGCAUCCGAGUUGUACGAACGGUGUGGCGGUGAAGGAGGGGGUUGCGUCCGAUUAGCUGGACGGCGGGGUGACGGCCCACCGUGGCGACGAUCGGUAGGGGUUAGGAGAUGAAGGUCCCCCACACUGGAACUGAGACACGGUCCAGACUCCUACGGGAGGCAGCAGUGAGGAAUAUUAGGCAAUGGGCGUAAGCCUGAACCAGCCAAGUAGCGUGCAGGAUGACGGCCCUAUGGGUUGUAAACUGCUUUUAUGCGGGGAUAAAGUGGCCCACGUGUGGGUUUUUGCAGGUACCGCAUGAAUAAGGACCGGCUAAUUCCGUG
RNAcentral lists this ribosomal RNA (490 nucleotides) under uncultured bacterium. RNAcentral's name for it is "partial 16S ribosomal RNA". It matches the Rfam family "Bacterial small subunit ribosomal RNA", at positions 28 to 507 of the family's 1533-position model. The record is from RNAcentral.